GACGAACGCUGGCGGCGUGGAUUAGGCAUGCAAGUCGAACGGUAGGAUCCUUUCGGGGAUCUGAGAGUGGCGAACGGGUGAGUAACACGUAGGUGAUCUACCCUCAAGACGGGGACAACCCAGGGAAACUUGGGCUAAUACCGGAUGUGAGCUAUCGCGAGAUAGUUUGAAAGGUGGCUUCGGCUGCCGCUUGAGGAUGAGCCUGCGUCCUAUUAGCUAGUUGGUGAGGUAACGGCUCACCGAGGCAGUGAUAGGUAGGCGGCCUUAACGGGUGGUCGCCCACACUGGGAUUGAGAUACGGCCCAGACUCCUACGGGAGGCAGCAGUCGAGAAUAGUCUACAAUGGUCGAAAGACUGAUAGUGCGACGCCGCGUGAACGAAGAAGCCCUUCGGGUGUAAAGUUCUUUUAUAUGUGAGCAGUGACACCCAUAUUAAUAGUAAUGGGUGUAGAGAUAUUAGCAUAUGAAUAAGCAACGGCUAACUCCGUGCCAGC
RNAcentral lists this ribosomal RNA (493 nucleotides) under uncultured bacterium. RNAcentral describes it as "bacterial SSU rRNA". It matches the Rfam family "Bacterial small subunit ribosomal RNA", at positions 28 to 512 of the family's 1533-position model. The record is from RNAcentral.